CACGCCCUAAACGAUGAAUACUCGAUGUUGGCGAUAUACGGUCAGCGUCUAAGCGAAAGCGUUAAGUAUUCCACCUGGGGAGUACGCCCGCAAGGGUGAAACUCAAAGGAAUUGACGGGGGCCCGCACAAGCGGAGGAGCAUGUGGUUUAAUUCGAUGAUACGCGAGGAACCUUACCCGGGCUUGAAAGUUAGUGAAUGUGACAGAGACGUCACAGUCCUUCGGGACACGAAACUAGGUGC
Molecule: ribosomal RNA, 241 nt
Filed under: uncultured bacterium
Lineage: Bacteria
Description: partial 16S ribosomal RNA
Rfam family: Bacterial small subunit ribosomal RNA
Source: RNAcentral